This is a non-coding RNA of Chlorocebus sabaeus (green monkey), 1437 nucleotides long. The record is from RefSeq and is a predicted model, not a curated record. Lineage: Eukaryota; Metazoa; Chordata; Mammalia; Primates; Cercopithecidae.
AUGAGUUAUCUACUUUUAAUUCUUAAAAAGAAUUCUGUGUUGAAAAGGUACCUGAAAUUAUGGGACUGUCUUUGCAAUUUAGCAUCUGUUUGAAAUUAGGAAUGCAGUUAGUUAUACAACAAAAAAAUUGGUGCAAUGAAGUUUGGUUUCUCAAUGCCUCAACUGCUUUAUAUACAUUUAUUGAUCUGUUUGCUUCAUUGAACAAGUGUAAAUGAAUAAAUGGCAUUUGUGAGCAAUUUUCUUUUCUUUGGAAGUGAUAUGAAGACACUUUGCUAGGCAUUAGCAAAAUCAGAACCGUAGGGCUUCUGUACUAAUCUCUACUUUGAACUAGCCCUUCCUGAUGGAUAUUCUUACUGUUGACAGCUACAUGGGGUAAAAAACACCUUCAUGGAUCAUUUUUUAAAGACUUAUUUUGUUCUUUCUCUCUUGUCAUUUCAUCCCAAAAUUUCCAUUUUGAGUACCUGAAGAAAUCAGAAAAUACAACUCGGGAAUUUGCAUCCUAGUGAAACAGAGACUCCAAAACUAACACUGACUGAAUCAAAAUGAUGGCAGAGUUCAAACAGGUGGCUAGUUAUUGGAGUCUGUUCAGGAACAACUAACUGAACCUCAAUCCCAGUAAAUGGUUGAAGACAGAAGACUUACAGAUUUUAUAUCCAGCCCAUGAGGAUUUUGACUGAUUCCAUUGAGCAGGCUCAGCUGAAAUGCUGCCACUUCCUAGGACCACACUCUAAGUCGCUGGAUGUAAAAUGAUUACUCUGAGCACAUACACACCAUCCAGCAAGUGAUUGCAGUGUUCCUGUGGAUAAGAAUCAGAAAAACCAAAAGAACUGAGCUGGCAAGUUAUGCAGUAGAAGGGAGAUUCCUCGGAGCAUGAAGCAACGUGUGGCACAUUGACCCUCUACCUUUCUUGCACCCCAACUUUUGAUGGCCAACUUCUUCCCUUGCAAACAGAACUCAGGUGAAAAACUGAAGGGCCAAGACAAAUUCAGUGACUUGUCCAGGAUCACACAACCAGUCAUUAGCUCCGCUGAGAAGAAAAUACACAUCUCUGGAUCCCCAGAUGAGUGUUUCGUUUUUGUUCUUUAGCACUUCGAGUGCUUCCGUACAACAUACCAUUUGUAUUCUUUGAAACAAACUCUUCAGGUAUUUCCAGGUGUUUUUCACGUGUCUGACCUGAGAGAAAGUAUACCUAAUGGUAUAAGUAGAUUUAAAAUCUAUUUAAAAUUCUCAGUUUCUAAUGCUGUUCUUCCUUUAGUAACUACUUCAAAAUGUUAAUUGUCUGUCAGUCCUUUGGUUGGGGAAUUGCUUAUGGGACCACCUAGAGGUUAUGAUAGGGAGAAGACAUUACACAUGAAAGCCAUCCUACAGCCUGAUAUUACAGAAUGAGCCAACAUUUCGCCAGCAUCCGCUCAGAGUGAUAGCCCUGAAUACAAUGGC